RNAcentral lists this ribosomal RNA (484 nucleotides) under uncultured bacterium. RNAcentral describes it as "partial 16S ribosomal RNA". It matches the Rfam family "Bacterial small subunit ribosomal RNA", at positions 28 to 523 of the family's 1533-position model. The record is from RNAcentral.
GACGAACGCUGGCGGCGUGCUUAACACAUGCAAGUCGAACGAUGAAGCCGGAGCUUGCUCUGGUGAAUUAGUGGCGAACGGGUGAGUAACACGUGAGUAACCUGCUCUUGACUCUGGGAUAACUGCGGGAAACUGUAGCUAAUACCGGAUACGACCCUCGGAGGCAUCUCCUGGGGGUGGAAAGAAUUUCGGUCAAGGAUGGACUCGCGGCCUAUCAGCUGGUUGGUGAGGUAAAGGCUCACCAAGGCGACGACGGGUAGCCGGCCUGAGAGGGUGACCGGCCACACUGGGACUGAGACACGGCCCAGACUCCUACGGGAGGCAGCAGUGGGGAAUAUUGCACAAUGGGCGCAAGCCUGGUGCAGCAACGCCGCGUGAGGGAUGACGGCCUUCGGGUUGUAAACCUCUUUUAGCAGGGAAGAAGCGAAAGUGACGGUACCUGCAGAAAAAGCACCGGCUAACUACGUGCCAGCCGCCGCCGUAA